RNAcentral lists this non-coding RNA (48 nucleotides) under Schistosoma mansoni. The record is from RNAcentral. Lineage: Eukaryota; Metazoa; Platyhelminthes; Trematoda; Strigeidida; Schistosomatidae.
AUCCAGCCGACGAGUCCCAAAUAGGACGAAACACGUGUCAAAUUGGAU